Molecule: ribosomal RNA, 430 nt
Filed under: Bacteroidota bacterium
Lineage: Bacteria; Pseudomonadati; Bacteroidota
Description: Bacteroidetes bacterium partial 16S ribosomal RNA
Rfam family: Bacterial small subunit ribosomal RNA
Source: RNAcentral
UAGGGAAUCUUCGGCAAUGGGGGGAACCCUGACCGAGCAACGCCGCGUGAGUGAAGAAGGUUUUCGGAUCGUAAAGCUCUGUUGUUAAGGAAGAACGAGUGUGAGAAUGGAAAGUUCAUACUGUGACGGUACUUAACCAGAAAGGGACGGCUAACUACGUGCCAGCAGCCGCGGUAAUACGUAGGUGGCAAGCGUUGUCCGGAUUUAUUGGGCGUAAAGCGAGCGCAGGCGGUCAGUUAAGUCUGAUGUGAAAGCCCCCGGCUCAACCGGGGAGGGUCAUUGGAAACUGGUUGACUUGAGUGCAGAAGAGGAGAGUGGAAUUCCAUGUGUAGCGGUGAAAUGCGUAGAUAUAUGGAGGAACACCAGUGGCGAAGGCGACUCUCUGGUCUGUAACUGACGCUGAGGCUCGAAAGCGUGGGUAGCAAACAGG